This 564-nucleotide ribosomal RNA is filed under the name uncultured bacterium. Its description in RNAcentral is "bacterial SSU rRNA". It matches the Rfam family "Bacterial small subunit ribosomal RNA", at positions 1 to 546 of the family's 1533-position model. The record is from RNAcentral.
GAUCUUCCAGAGAUUAGAGUUUGAUCCUGGCUCAGAUUGAACGCUGGCGGCAGGCAUAACACAUGCAAGUCGAACGGUAACAGGAAACAGCUUGCUGUUUCGCUGACGAGUGGCGGACGGGUGAGUAGUGUCUGGGAAACUGCCUGAUGGAGGGGGAUAACUACUGGGAACGGUAGCUAAUACCGCAUAACGUCGCAAGACCAAAGAGGGGGACCUUAGGGCCUCUUGCCAUCGGAUGUGCCCAGAUGGGAUUAGCUAGUAGGUGGGGUAACGGCUCACCUAGGCGACGAUCCCUAGCUGGUCUGAGAGGAUGACCAGCCACACUGGAACUGAGACACGGUCCAGACUCCUACGGGAGGCAGCAGUGGGGAAUAUUGCACAAUGGGCGCAAGCCUGAUGCAGCCAUGCCGCGUGUAUGAAGAAGGCCUUCGGGUUGUAAAGUACUUUCAGCGGGGAGGAAGGGAGUAAAGUUAAUACCUUUGCUCAUUGACGUUACCCGCAGAAGAAGCACCGGCUAACUCCGUGCCAGCAGCCGCGGUAAUACGGAGGGUGCAAGCGUUAAUC